RNAcentral lists this ribosomal RNA (229 nucleotides) under uncultured Levilinea sp. RNAcentral describes it as "partial 16S ribosomal RNA". It matches the Rfam family "Bacterial small subunit ribosomal RNA", at positions 1157 to 1382 of the family's 1533-position model. Lineage: Bacteria; Bacillati; Chloroflexota; Anaerolineae; Anaerolineales; Anaerolineaceae. The record is from RNAcentral.
CAUAAACCGGAGGAAGGUGGGGGAUGACGUCAAGUCAGCAUGGCCUUUAUAUCCUGGGCUACGCACACGCUACAAUGGGAAGGGACAAUAGGUUGCGAAACCGCGAGGUGGAGCCAAUCCAGCAAAACUUCCCUCAGUUCAGAUUGCAGGCUGCAACUCGCCUGCAUGAAGUUGGAGUUGCUAGUAAACGCAGGUCAGCCAUACUGCGUUGAAUACGUUCCCGGGGCUU